This 253-nucleotide ribosomal RNA is filed under the name uncultured bacterium. RNAcentral's name for it is "partial 16S ribosomal RNA". It matches the Rfam family "Bacterial small subunit ribosomal RNA", at positions 524 to 776 of the family's 1533-position model. The record is from RNAcentral.
UACGUAGGGUGCGAGCGUUAAUCGGAAUUACUGGGCGUAAAGCGUGCGCAGGCGGUUAUAUAAGACAGAUGUGAAAUCCCCGGGCUCAACCUGGGAACUGCAUUUGUGACUGCAAGGCUAGAGUACGGCAGAGGGGGAUGGAAUUCCGCGUGUAGCAGUGAAAUGCGUAGAUAUGCGGAGGAACACCAAUGGCGAAGGCAAUCCCCUGGGCCUGUACUGACGCUCAUGCACGAAAGCGUGGGGAGCAAACAGG